GCCUGUUGCAGUGUUGCCGGUCUCUCGGGUGGUAAGGCCGAAUUUAGGAGCGGGCUAUCGAGCCAACUUUUGUAGCGAAUAUGGGCCAGAGGCUUACGACGAGUUUACGGCAAACCCAGUAGUUUAUGGUUUCCUUUUACUUUUCACUGAGAUAGUCUCCUCCCCCUUAAAAAAAAAAAAACUCCGUGUAUAGAUAGUCUCCUGUGCUACUGUGAAAAAACUACUACUCCGUGAGUAGUUUUUUACAGUAAUUUUUUCCAUUCUACACCAGGGUUUCAAGUGAUACAAAAAUGCAAUUAAUAGGGACAAUGUGGAAACACGGUACAGAUUGUGAAGUUGGUACUCCGUAGUACAAAAAUUAAGUAGAAAUUGCGCAGUAGAAAUCAGUGCAUAGACGCAAGCAAGAAUCGUGUAGUAUCUCACUGUAGUGUCUUGCAUGCGGCACACUCGAUCCAUGUACUGACUUGGUGAAACAUAUACCAUGAUACCAGAUUAUUACCAGGGGCACUGCAAAAUUGAAGAAAAACCACACGGGCGACGGAUCUUCGAUCUUAAAAUCACACACGUGCCAUCAAGCGUGCGUUCUUCCUUCACAUGUUUGGUAGCUUUCCAAUCUUCCAGUUCCAGUCACACCACGAACAAGAACAACACGGCUAAGUUACAAACCGGUUCGUCUCAACGAGGCAAGCUAAUAUAAACCAGUCAAAAGAUUAAAGGGCCGAACCGAAUAACAUGUCAAGGAUUCCUCAUUUCCUCUUGCUACUUUAUGAUCUCAAGGAGGC
Molecule: long non-coding RNA, 782 nt
Filed under: Brachypodium distachyon (stiff brome)
Lineage: Eukaryota; Viridiplantae; Streptophyta; Magnoliopsida; Poales; Poaceae
Description: long non-coding RNA (BDIS_LNC000078)
Source: RNAcentral